This is a long non-coding RNA of Symphalangus syndactylus (siamang), 18335 nucleotides long. RefSeq lists it as uncharacterized. The record is from RefSeq and is a predicted model, not a curated record. Lineage: Eukaryota; Metazoa; Chordata; Mammalia; Primates; Hylobatidae.
GCUCAUAAUAACCAUUGAUGCUAUUACUAUUAUUAAUGGCAUCAAUUAUUACUAUUAUUACUAUUAGUAAUAGCAUCAAACACACAAAGAUCAGGGGUUCUGUAGGCUAUUGGUGUCUACUUAAGUACAAUAUAUGGAUAUUAUCGUGGCCACAUUGACAAAACGAGCAGAUAUCAUAGAGACCACAGCUACCUGAAAUAACCCAGGAUCCCUAAAUUUGGUCCCCCGGAACUUGAAGAUUUGAUGAAUAUACUGCCAAAGAUAGACACACUACCUUCAACUCAUGGAAGUUGUGGGACUCUCCAUGCACUGCCCCACUGCUACCCCUUUGGUGAAUUUAUAGAAAAUUAGAAAAAGGUUCUUCUUCUCUAAGACACUUGUCUGCUAAUUUGCUGGAGAAUCAUAAAAGCCCUAUGAAUCUACAAUCACUUUGAGUCAAAUGGUACUCCCUGUAAUUGAGUUGCACUAUUUGUACACUUAAAAUUUACUGCACACUUAAAAUUCUCUCUGGAGGCUACCCCAUGGAUUCUGGUGCAGCAUGUGACCCUGGAAUCCCCAAUUGUAAGUUCUGUGAAAAGUUAAUCUGAACCAAAAGUCAAGAUACAAUGGUCAAACAAUAGGUGAACCAUCUUAAGUGUAUGUUUACAUAAUUAAGAAGUUGGAAACAGGUAUGAAAUGAAGGUUUCUAUCCCCAAAUUUUAGGGAACAUAACUGUUGGUUAGAGGUACAAAUGCUAUCCCUUAGGUUGACCAAAAAUAGUGGGCUUAGAGAAGCUGUCUCAGCUCAGCUAUCACAUGCUAACGUGUCUCUUUUUUGAAUGUUCUUCCCUUUACCCUGAGUGCAAAACUUUUAUUAUUUUCUAUUUAUUAUUUUAUGCAGAAUAUUGAUUUAAAAUCUUAGGAUGGUUAUAAUGAUUAGGAUAAUAAUAGCCAGAAUGUGUUUAAGGUCCUGUAAUAAGCACUUUACAUAAAUUUUAAUUUAGGAGAAAAUGUUUAAUUAUUUAUUUAAAUGUAAUGUUCCUAUCCCCUAGUGAAAAUAAGCCCAAUUUUACAACACCAAAUAGAGACUUAGGCUCACUUAAAGCCGUAAAGGGAACUUUGUGAUUAUGCAUCUGUUCCCUCAUGGGGGAAGAGAAAGUCUUUGAAAGCCCAGUUUUAAAAUGAUAUUUACAUGUAUAUCUUCAUGACUUUAAAUUAGGCAAUGAUUUCUUAGGUAUGACAUCAAAAGCACAAGAAACCAAAUUAAAAAUAAGUAAUUUAGUCUGGGCACGGUGGCUCACAUCUGUAAUCGUAGCACUUUGGGAGGCCGAGGGCAGAUCACCUGAGGUCAGGAGUUCGAGAUUAGCCUGGCCAACAGGUGAAACCCUGUCUCUACUAAAAAUACAAAAUUAGCCAGGUGUGGUGGCACAUGACUGUAGUCCCAGCUACUAGGAAGGCUGAGACAGGAGAAUUGCUUGAGCUCAGGAGGUGGAAGUUGUAGUGAGCUGAGAUCAUGCCAUUGCACUUCAGCCUGGGUGACAGGAGCAAAACUCAAUCUCAAAGAAAAAAAAACAGAAGAUUUCAAUGGACAUCACUCCAAAAAUGGAUACAAAUGGCCAAUAAGCACAUGAAAUAUGAGAGGACAGUCAACAUCAUUAGUAGGGAAUUGCAAUUGAAAACCAUAAUGAAGAAUCACUUUAUACCCACUGGGAUGGCUAUUAUAAUAAUUUUAAAGGAAAAAUAGUACUGAGAAGAUAUAGAGAGAUUUGAGCCUUCAUUCACUGCUGGUGGGACUGUAAAAUGGGAAGCCUCUUUAGAAAACAGUUUGGCUGCCCCUCAAAAGCUAAGGCAGUUAUCAUAUGAUCCAGCAAUUCCACUCCUAGGUACAUACCCAAGAGAACUGAAAGCAUAUGUUCACACAAAAACUUGCACAUGAAUGUUCAUAGUAGCAUUAUUGGUAAUAACGAAAAAGUGGAAACCAAUCCAGAUGUUCAUCAACUGAUGAGUAGAUAAACAAAUAUAGUAUGUCCAUAAAAUGGAAUCGCCAUAAAUAGGAAUGAAAUAUUGAUAUAUGUUACCACACAGAUAAACCUUGGAAACAAAAUGCUAAGUAAAAGAAGCCAGACAUAAAAGGCCAUAUAUGAAAUGUCCAGAAUAGGCAAAUCCAUAGAGACACAAACUAGAUUAUUGGUUGCCAGGGGAUGGGGGAGGAAAGAAAGGGAAGUAACCACUAAAGGGUGGAGGGUGUCUUUUGUGAUGUCCUGGAAUUAAAUAGUGGUAAUGCUUGCACAACUUUGUAAAUAUACUAACAACUACUGACUUGUAUUCUUUUAAAAAAUGACUUUUAUAAGCCUACUGAGAGCACAGGACUUAGGAGGCCUGAGCUUAAAUCCCAGCACUAUUUCUCAAUAAUUAUGUGAACCUAGACAGGUCAUUUAAGUUCUAGCUCUCAGUUUUCUCUGUAAAAUAAAGAUAGUAUCUGUUUGACAAAGCUGUUAAGAUUUAAUGAGAUAGUCACUGUGAAAUCACCUGGUGCAGUAUCUAAAAUACAGCAGGUUUUCCACAAAUAUCAAUUGAACUCAUUGGAUGAAUACAAACGGGCUAUGUAGCCAUCUUCUGAUGAGUAUAUUCCACGUUUUUUGUCAGAGGCAGUGGGUAUCCCUUGAACAAUGCAAAGGAGUUGUGCUUCUCUUAGAAGGCAGUAUAUUAUUAUGUUUAAGCCUGUGAACACUGAAGCCAAACUUGUCUUGGUUACUCACCAGCUGUAUGACCACAGCGUUUACUCAGUUAUUUAUAUUUUAGUAUUUUUAUAUAUAAAUGGGAUUAAAAAUGGUACUUACUUUAUAAGGUGUUUAGAAGUGUUAAAUGGCACAAAUUAAGUGUUCAGGGAGUGAUGUGGUUUGUCUGUGUCCCCACCCAAAUCUUACAUUGAAUUGUAGUUCCCAUAAUUCCCAAGUGUCGUGGGAGGGACCAGGUAGAGAUAAUUGAAUCACGGGGGCAGUUUCCCCCAUCCUGUUCUCAUGAUGGUGAAUUAGUUCUCAUGAGAUCUGAUGGUUUUAUAAGGGGCCUUCCCCCCACCUUCACUUCUGACUUCUCUUGCCUGCCACCAUAUAAGAUGUGCCUUUGUUCCUCCUUUGGCUUCCACCACGAUGGUGAGGCCUUCCUAGCCUUGUGAAACUGUGAAACCAUUAAACCUCUUUUUCUCUAUAAAUUGCCCAGCCUCAUGUAUGUCUUUAUUAGCAGCAUGAGAAUGGACCGAUACAGGGAGUAUUAAUAUUUCUAGCCAAAACUUGGAGCACAUUAGUUCCUUGAGGAGUGGUUGCAUUGUCUCAUUCUCCCUUGGGCCUCUAGGACAUGACAAAUUAAAUAGAGUCAGUAAAUACUUGUUGAACUGAAUUUGGUCUUUUAUGGACAGGAAAUGACCAAGCUCAGGGUUGUUAGCACUGCUAUAACCAUCUCCAACUGAAGCUAAUUGGAAGCUAUAUGUUUGGUGUAGCCCAAACAUAUAAACCAUAGUUCUGGCAAGUAUUCCUUGGAAUUAAUGCAAAAAUUAAUCUUUAUCUAAUUUAGUUUGGAUUUAAAGCCUUUUGAAACACUAAUACCACAAAUUUAAGAAAAUAUUUCUGUUGGUUGUGGUCCUAUUCUUGUGAUAAUAACUUGUUCACCUUGUGUAUACACAUUUAUUUUUAAUCUAGACCCAAGUUCACUUUUGUAGAAAAAUUAUACCAUGAUCUGUAAUACCUUUCUUUUUAAAUCAUAUAAUAUUCAACAACUGAAUACAGAAUAUCCCCUUAGAGAUAAAUACACCCGGACCUACAUUAAUGGGUCUCACUGGGUUCCUUGAAGCCAAGUCAUAAACUCUAAAGUUGAGAAGAGCCUCUGAGGUCAUCUAGUCUCUCCCCGAUGUGGCUUAGAUUUCUCUUUACAAUAGGAUCAAGCAAAGAGUUACUUAGACUGAUUAAAUACAUCCAGUUUGAAGAAGUAUCAUCCAAACAGCUCUGAAAGAAAGUUCAUCCUUAUUGCUGAAUUAAGAACUGUCUCCUUGUAGCUUCCAAUUAUUGAUUCCAGUUAAACUACGAUCAGGCACAUAUAAGCUAAUUUGAUCCUUCCCCCAACAGCUGCUCAAAUAUCUAAAGAUGUCUAUCACAUCCUGUCUAAAACUGUUUCUCUUACCCUUCCAGAUUAUGGUCAUAGGACAUAAAUGUCUUUUUUUCUUUUUCUUUUUUCUUUUUUUUGAGGUGGAGUCUCACUCUGUCGCCAGGCUGGAGUGCAGUGGCACGAUCUCAGCUCACUGCAACCUCUGCCUCCUGGGUUCAAGUAAUUCUCCUGCCUCAGCCUCCCGAGUAGCUGGGACUAUAGGCGCAUGCCAUCACGCCCAGCUACUUUUUGUAUUUUUAGUAGAGACGGGGUUUCACCAUGUUGGCCAGGAUGGUCUUGAUCUCUUGACUUCGUGAUCCGCCAGCCUCGGCCUCCCAAAGUGCUGGGAUUACAGGCAUGAGCCACUGCGCCCAGCCGAUGUCUUUUAAAAGUGUGAUGCAUUUAAAUGAGUCAUAAAUUCAGAUGGUUGAGAAAAAGGGGCAGGAAUAUUCAAAACUGUCACACUAGGUUGAACCAAAAGAAAGGUUUAUCUUCUCUUCUCAUUUGGACCUGCAAAAACAGCAUUUUCCUACGGCUCAACCUACACUUUCUCUAGCUGUUCCCCCCUCUGCAAAUUUGAUUAGUGUGUCUUCUGUGAGUUCAUCCUGAUCUCUAAGAAGUAUAUUUUAUUAGGCAAAGAGUAAUCCAGGAGUGCACCAAAGUCUGUCUUCCAAGUUCAUCAACUUAGCAAAAAUAUAUUGAACACCUAGGUAUCAGGCAUUUUGCAAGGCAGUAGUGAAGCAGUAGUGAAAAGGUUCGUUUCCCUGCUCUUAUAGUUCUUAGAGUAUAGUGGUUGGGGAAGCCAACAUUAAUUACAUAGUAACACAAAUAAACAUACAUUUACAAGAGCCAUUAUGGAAUCCUAACCUCUUUCGUGGUACACCUUUAAUGUAGUUUCUCUAAUGGAUUUCAUUUUGGGAACUAUAUCUCCAUGACUUUAACAGAUGUUAGCCAUAAACAAACCCACAAGAAAUUAAAUACGUUAACUUAAUGAAUAACAUCUUAAGAGUAUUAUUCAUCUGGUUGCCAGAGAGUGCCUGCCAAAAAUGACAAUUUGGGUUUGGCAUAAUUAAUGUUUAGUUGUAUUUCCAGGAAAUAAUUCGUCCUGAGUAUUUCUUGUGGCUCUUCCACUAAUAUAUUUUUGUACUAGAAAACCCUAGAAUGUCACACAAAUUGCCAAUGGAAUUUGAAUUUGAGGUAAAAUAGUUUUGGGGAAUAAAUGAUAAGAGGAAGGUAGCCUCAGAGUUAGGAAUCAUAGACCUGGGCUUGACCUUAAUAAUUAUCUGAUGUAGUUUUAUUCUUGGAGCUGAGUCUCCUUUGAAUUCCAAAAGAAUUGCUUUUUUUCCUGAGAAAUUUUUGAAAUCUCCCAAAGGUAGGAUCGAAUCGGAAUAAGGUGAUUUUAAAAUGUGCUUUUGUUCUUUAAUGGAAUUCAAUGUAGGAAAUUGAUAAUAAAUGGUACUCUUAAAAACUGGUAUAUACAAAGCACCACAAGCUGCUUUUAACAAGCAACUGUUAAGCAGUUACUAUGUUCUGAGCCCUGUGUUACAAGAGUAAUCACAACCCCAAAAAGAGAUUUAAUUUUUGGCUUUGUUCUUAUAAGGCAAAACAGGCCUUUGGCCAUAUCCACUUCUGGAUUUUUUUCCCAGCAAAGUUGAAUACUAAUUCAUCAAAACUGAGAUGGAGUAAAACCCUCUGUUAAUCAACAGCACUUGUCUACAGGGUGCCCCGUGAUGGAUAGAAACAAAUGGAAACUUUAUUGAUCUUUUCUGUUACAAUGAGUUGCAUUUCCUCUUGCAUUUUCACAGCACCUCUCUUGACCUGUAUUUUGUACUUACUUCAUUCACACUGUAGAACAUUAUUUCCUUGUCUCUUUUCACAAGUAGAAUUUGAGCCUCUGGAAGCAAGGAGUUAUUCAUCCUUAUUUCUUCAAAGCACCUCAACUAGUGCCUGGUACACAGUAAUUAUUUGGUGAAUGUUUAUUUGUUUGGCGGACUAAAAAGUCCAAGUUGUUCUCCCGAGUUCAAAGUACCAUUGACCUUGAAGGGAGAGAAAACUAAAACACACAAAAAAAGAAAAAAUAUUUUCCAGAGCACAGAAUUAAAUGUUAAAUGUAUGCAGUUCAGACUAAAAAUGCUUUAGGAGAGCAGAAAAAGAUACCACCUUGGGCAGCUUGUUGGGAGAUUUAAUGGUAAAGAAAGGGUAGAUGUUGCCAAUGCUUUAAGGAGGUAAGAGUGGAUCUGAGAGGAGUUUGAGUGGCUGUUCAGACAAGGGGACAACCUUUCCAAAGGCUAAAGGUAAGCAUAGGUACUCAAAUAUCCCUGAAGUAGGUUCUUCUCUCCAAACCCAAGUUUUGGAUAUCUGAGCAAAUUGAUUCACUGUUCUGUAAAAGGAUUUGGCUGGAUUAGAUUAAUGGUUUGUAAAACUAUUUUUUUUAAAGUGGUAGAAUAAUAACAAUUCUUUCUCGGUGGUAGUAGGGGAAGCUAUAGGGACACUAUGACCCACCCUCUUGGCCAUCACCUCAACCUCAAGGCCACUCCUGGGGCUCAUCAACUGAAUCCAUAGGACACAAUUUGAAGACUACUGAACUAGGAACUUUAAAGGCUGAGAGGACAAAAUAACUCCUCUCGACGAUUAAUCCACACAGUUUUUGCAGAAAGAUGAGGAGACACCAUGUCUGAGCAGAAGGUUGAUGGAAUGAGGCAGUAGGAACCAAGAUUGUGAAUACAGAGCAAUCAGCACCAUGCCUGGCACACAGUAGGCACUCAGGAAAUGUUAUGUAAAUGUAUGUGGGAACAUAGGCAAUGCACAAAACACCCACAAGAUCAUAGAAAGCUUUGAAAGUCAACCACCAGUGUUUGGACUUGAUCAGCAAGAAACAUGAAGCCACCCUAGAUUCUUCCAUGGGGGAAAUACAGGAUGAGCAUGCGUCUGGGGAAAAGGAGUCUGGCAACUAACUGGAUCCCUCAAUUAACUCAUAUUUUAUCUUUAAUUAGAAUAUAGUCUGGAUAUUACAUAUUAGGAAAUUACUGUUAGCUUUAUAAGUUAUAAUAGUGGUAUUGUAGUUAUUCAUAGGAAAUGUGUGCUGAAGUGUUGAGGGAUAAAUGGUUGUGACAGCUGCAACUGAUUUUCAAAUGAUUUACCAAAAAUAUUACCCAUACAUAAUAUACCUAUUAUAUAUGCACACAUAUGUAUACACAUAUUCAUCUAGAUAGAUACAUAUGGCAAAAUGUGUGGUGGUUAUAUUGGUGUUUCUUACAAUGUUUUUUUCUGUAUGUUUGUACAUUUUUAUAAUAAGAGAAGUGGGAAAAAAUGUUUUUCUUUCAUCUUCUUAUAAGAGAAAGAGGGCAAUUACUAUGAUAAUCAUAAACAUUAGGAGAAUGCUUACCCUGCGUAAUAAAGAAAUUGGCCUGACCCAAAGAGAGGUCUGGUCCUUGUCCCUGGCUUCUGGGAGGUAACCUUUAAACUCUUGGAAUUUUCCAAGUGAAAGAAACGUCUUUGUUAUUCAUGGUGGGCUAGACAACUCCUGGUAGUUUAUGCUAACAAGGUUACCCAUGGUGUGGCCCUUGAGCCAUGUGGUGUUAGCUUGACAUUGGAGAGUGAGGGGAGAGACUAGAAACUGAGUUUAACCACAUGUGCAAACAAUCAAUCAUGCCUACAUAAUGAAGCUCCAAUAAAUACUCCGGACACUGAAGCCAAGGUGAGCAUCCCAGGUUGGCAAUAUUACAUGUGUAUUGUUGCACAUUGAGACCAGGAGAGUAGAACAUCCUGUGGAUAAUGGAAGCUUUGUGUUUGGAGCCCCCCUAGAUUUGGCCCUAUGUGUCUCUUCCUUUGGCUGGUUCUAAGGUAUAUCCUGUAGUAAACUGUAACAGUUAUCAGUGUAAUGGCUUUCAGUAAGUUGUUAGCUCUUUCAGUGAAUUAUCAAAACUAGGCAUGGUUUUAGAGACCCACCCUAGGCUUGCAGUUAGUGUCAGAAGUGAGGACAGUCUUGGAGACUGUCCCAUUAGACUUUGCAGUUUGCCUAAUUUCAGAUACAGACAUUGACAUUCUCCUUAGUGCUUUAGUGUGGAUAUUUAAUACUCAUAACAUGAGUAGUAAUGGGUUGUUGUAGGUGCUACUAUUUUGCCUAUUUUACAGAUGAGGAAACUCAGGAAUGGGGAAUUAACUUGUUAAACAUCAUACAAUGAGUAAAUGGUAGAACUAGAAUUUAAACCCUGGCAAGCUGCUCCACAGCCUGUGCAUCUUGUUGAUUAAAAAAAGAAAGAAAGGAAAAAAAUAACUUAGAGAUACAAGUGAAAAGAAUUCCAGAGUAGGUAAGUCCAGGAAGCAAUGAAGGUUGAGUCCUGUCCCCUCUGUUCUCUGACUACAGUUCUGUAGAGCAAUAAUGGUCCUCCUGAAUGAGGACCCUGAGGCAUACCAAUACCUUGUUCUCUAAAAGAAAGAAUCAGUGAUGUUUAGUACUACAUACUUUGUUUUCUAAGGCCAUUAGGUGGGCUAAUUAGUUUUACAAAGAAGGCUAAGAGUUCUAACAGAAUGGGCUUUCUCAUUAACUCUUUGCUUAUCCAAGUAGCCAGACAUCCACAUUCUCUGACCGUUCCAGUUAAUACCAAGCUUCCUGUAAAAUUUCAGUGGCAUGGAAAAAUGCUGUAAAGGGGAGAGUAGUCCCACCUCUCCCCACUAAUUGAUAGUUGAAAAUAAUCCAAAUCUAAAUGGCAUGUGCUUCAGAAUUCCAAAAUAGGGGUGGUAAGAAUUGCAAUACCCUAAGGAAAUUAUAUUACAGAAGAUUUAUCUAAUAAGUGAAGCUGCCAUAUACUUUUCUUUUUCAAAAUCCAAAAUGCUCCAGUAGGAGGGUUCUAAUUUUAACAGACCACAAGUCUCAAGGCUUUGCUAGAACUAUGAUAGUUUUUUAAACCAACUAGCUGGAUAUUCAUUAAAUCAAAUUGUCACAAAAGCUUGCACAUAAAUGGUACUAUAUAGGUGCAAGGAAAAGUGUGAAUGACCAUAGUUGGACAUUUGCUCUUUUAAUAUGUGCAUUGGUGUGUGAACAAUAGCCUUACACAGGUUGUAAGGAUGCUAUUCUUCUCUUGCCACCCCCAGAAGCCUAGAGGUUCACUAGUGGGGGAAAAAAUUAGGCAAUGCCAAGAGCACAUAAAAAGAUGAGAAAAUCAAGAGAUUAAAACCUCUGGUGCUGUUUUAUUCUCCUAAAUUAGGCCUAAUGGUCAAAUGAAUCUCUAAGAGGUUUUAGUUUAUGCCCUUCUAUGGAAUUCCUUAAGUAGCUUAUAUUUCACUAGAACAAAAAACUCACAACUCUAAACAUCGUGUUUUGAGAUUAUGCUUUGCUCUAGUCAUUUUGUGAUUUUUUUCAAUCAUUAAAAAAAGUUCCACAAGAAAAUUAUGCAUUGUCCUAAAACCUUAUGUAAGGAAAAAAAAAAAGGAAAGAAGAAAAACAUAUACCAGCAAAGGAAAAUAGACAAUGUGUACAUGUUUCUUCAUCUGUAAAAUAAGAACAAUAAAAGUGCCUAUCUCCUAGGGUUGUUAUGAGGAUUACAUAAAUUAACAUUUUUAAAGUGCUUAGAACAGUGCCUGGCUAGUGGUAAGCUACAUAACUUUACUUAAUAAAACUGGCGCAACUGGAAUAAAGUGAACAUCAGAAAACCUGCUCUGUCCUCCUUGCAAGUAAUUAAGUACCAUGAGGUCUUUCUGGAGGCAGAGAGAAUUGAGGUACAGUGGGAGAAAUGUGUUUCCAGCAAGUCUUAGCUAAGUGUGUUAUCCCUUGGUUUAUUUUCAUUAUAUGAGUUUUUGAUUCCUGCAUACUUUGAAGUUUGCCUCAAGGGAAAAAGUUGAAUUGGGACUCUUUGUGACUAGAAUAUUUGGCCUGGAAGGUUGGCACCUUCAGCUAUUUCUCAUGCCAAGCCUUUGAGAUUCUGUUCCCGUUCCAAAAGCUGACAGGAGCUUCCUUGCAAGUUCCUCUGAAAGAAAUGAAUGAGACUAAACUCCAACAGAUUUCUGCCUUUACAGACCCUUAACCAGCCUAAUUAGCUUGGUGAAUUAGCAGUGUGAAGGGUAGAAUGCAGAGUGCGCCCUAGCUCUGGGGUAGAGGCACAUGGGGCCCCCAAGAUCAGGAAGCAGGACCAGUUCUACAUAACCAGUUGGGGAAGCUCCAAAGAGGCUGCAGUGAAAGACUGCAGAAAAGCUCCUGCCAUCCUGCAGCUGAUUCCACACACACACGCACACACACACAAAAACGUGGAUUUUGAACUGUGAACUAUGCAAAAUUAUAUUUACAACCAGAAAAGGCUUUGCUAUGCCAAACCUAGUGGGCAAUAUUACAUCAUUGACACCUUUGGACUUAAAAAGAGAAAGAAAAAUUUAAGGUGGUUCUGAGUAGCUCUUUUUCAUCUCUAAAGGGAGGGGGAAUGUGACCAAAAAUCGAAAAUGGCCCUAAACAGUGACAGUAGGGAUCCAGGUCAAAUACAAAAAAGAACUUCCAGGCCUUCCUAAAAUAACUAUACUCAAGCCCUAUCAGACUUACUGCUUUAUGUAAUAAAUAUUUGUUCAAAACUCUUUUACUAUCUUGAAACAAAGUUCAUAGAUAAUAUAACCUAUCUACAGGCAUAAUUUCAAAAUCAACACAUACUGCUCUAGCUGUAAAAUGAAUAUGAAUUUGUAAGUAAUUUAUAAUAAACUGUGUAUUUUAAUAUGUAGAUGUUUAGGCAUGACUUCACAAGAAGACAUAAUGGAAGAGAUAGAUGCACAACCUAGGAAAAAUAAAACCUAUUCAGUGGAUUAUCAACAUGCUUCUUUAUACUUGAAACUUUGAAAUAAAGAAAAAAUAUGUUUCUACAUAUGCUUGGAAUCACUGUGAUGCAACAGUUACAGUUGCACUGGAGUCUCAAAGUCUAGAAAUGGUGUUACUAUUGGUGAUAUGAUUUUCUGAAAUGGUGCACACAAUACGUAUUAAAGGUCUGAACUAAACAUGUUUAAAACUGCAAGAAAAUUUCAGAAAAUUCAAUGUGAAUAUAUUAAAACACAGUUAGAUUCUAGGCUUGGAUACUUUUAAACAAGGUGACUUGUUUUUAACUACAUGAAUGUACAGUGGGAUAUAUGACAGCCAUGAGAGAGUCAGGACAAUCCUACACUGUGUGGACCUGUUCACACAUUGCGAGAUGUCUAGCAUCCCUAGUUCCUGCCCAGGAGACGCCAGUGACCCACUCCAGACCCUCCCUCACCUGCCUCACCAUCCCUUGUCACUGUGACAAUUAAUAAUGACUCGCCAGAAGACGAAAACUUUCCCCGAGGGCACAGUGCAUCCCGCAUUAGGAGCUAUUGCUUUAGAACUUCACUAAUCUCCCAUCCUGAAGUCAGAGUGAGCGUCUGGGUACAAGGUCAGGCUUCAAGGGGCAGGGUCUGUGCUCUUCUUUGGGGGUAUGAUGGAACAGGGGAUUCCAGGUCACAAAUAAACUCCCUUCUCGAUGGAUCUCCACUCUUUUUUAUUUACUUUUACCUUUUUUAAAGCCAAAUGUUUUAACAGUCAAGUGAUACAUAAGUACCUGCCUACUACACACUUGCCCUCCAAAGCUCACUCCCCAAAAGCAAACACUUUCAGGUAUUCCCCUAGUGUCUUGCUUCCAAAAUUCUAAAUAACAUGCUUUUCUCUUCUCAGUUGAUUUUUUAAUCAUAAUUUUUAAUAAUUAUAUAUUAUAUAUGUUAAUAUAUAUUAUAAAAAUUACUUUUAACCACAAAUACUAUCGAUUGGCCUCCCAAUAGGGAAUACAGACUUUCAUACCAUAUGUAUAGCAUAUAUUGAAAUUAAGCUAUUUUCAUAUAAUGUUUUAGAUUUGCACAUGUAUAAUUUCAUGUGAUUCUCACAGAAUUGUUGACAGGUAUGUUGUCAUAUCGUUCCCAUUUAAAAUAUAAGGAAAUCAGAACACAGAUAAAUGUUGUGGCCAAGACCACAUGACUAGAAAAUAGCAAAGAUGGAACUGGAGCCCAGAAUAUUUGCUCCUAAUAUACUGGUUUGUUUGUUUUUUUUUUUUCAAUUUUACUUCAACAGCUAUGGAACCAUUUCGCUUAGAGUCUCGAUUCUGGUAAAAACUCCCUCAAAGUCCUGUUCCAGUGGCACCUUCUUCAUGAAACUUUCACCCCUGGGCAGGUCUUUUCUUUAUGUUUUCACAGCCGUUUGUCUGUGCCUCCAUUAUAGCCUUCAUCACAAUGAAUAAUAAGUUUCUCUUUUCACAAUACUCAAAGUUAGAGUGUGAGCCCAUCAAAGCCCUGGACAGCUUCUAAUUCCUUUUUCUGUCCCCAGAGUGCAGCAGGGCAUCAGGUGCCUAGAAGAUGCUCAGUCGUCAGGGAACGUGAAGAGGCAACUUUAAGCAGAGGCCUGUGCUGGGGGCACAGAGAUGACUAAAACAGAACACAUUUCCCGACUUCCAAACCCCCAGGUCAGAGCAAUGAACCUGGACGCUGUUGGAGAUGGAAAAAAAAGAACUAAGAUGGAGUCAGAGAAAAGGGACCCUACCUGUAAUUGCUGGAUGUGUAAAUGCCUUAGACAGUUCCACCCUGGAAAAAGUAAUCCCUUCCUAAUGCUGAAACCAGGCCAUCAGGAUCAGCUCUCUUCUACGUGAGAUGGGUGCAAGCUGGGUAAAAAGACAUCAGGAAGAAAGAGGAUUUAUGCUUGCUCUUCGGUGGACCAGUGGGAAUUACUGGGACAGAAUGCGAUGCAAGGUUCUCCUUUAUUACAACAUACGAACAGGCUAAACCAGAUUUCCCUCCCUAAGAAAAAAAACUAAAGCUCUUUAAAAGCACCAUUUAUGAACAAUAGCAAAUAUGUUCAUUGUAGAUCACUUUUAGCUGUUCAUUAAACCAAAUCCCCUGGGGACAUUUUAUGCCAAUGCUUUGGAAAUUAGUCCUUGUUACUUUAUGUAAUUGAAAACAAUAAAGCUAAGUGCCUGUUACACUCUUCUGUAAUUUGAAACAGGGACUUGCAACCUCAGGUCCUAUCUCCAGGCCCUUCAGUGGCCUCAGAGGUAAUGAUGGGAAACUGUGUGUUAUAUUCAUUAUAUCAGAAAACCUUGCAGAAAUGGGACAUUUAACUUGAAGCUGUAUGAGCUCACUAAAAUGCCAAGUCUCUGCUUUUUGACUGAGAUGACAUCAGUUUAGUACAAUAAUUGAUUGUCUAAAAGGAUAAUGAUUGAUAAUUGAUUAUCUCAUGCUAUCUGGGAACUUUAAAUAAUAGUCAUUUAAUGUCUUAGAUUAAUAUAAAUGGGAUAAAUUAAUCAUGCUAUAAGACUUUCAAAAAGAAGACCCUUUAGGAAAUAGGCUUCACGUGGAAAAAAACUAUUAACAGUUAAAAAAUCUAGCCAAAAAGUGGAAAGAGCCCAAAUGUCUGCCUCCUGAUGAAUGGAAAUAUGAGAUGUGGUAAAUCCAUUGUCUUAGUCUAUUUUUCACUGCUAUAACAGAGUACCACAGACUGGGUAAUUUAUAAAGAAGAGAAGUUUAUCUGGCUCAUGGUUCUGCAAGCUGAGAAAUCCAAGACUACGGUCCAGCAACUGGUGAGGGCAAUCCUAUAGCAGAAGGCAAAAGCAAACAUGUAAGACAGACAGAGGAAAGCCAAACUCAUCCUUUUCAUCAGUAAUCCACUGCUGAGAUAACUAACCCACUCCCUCCAUAGUAGCGUUAAUCCCCUCAUGAGGGUGGAACCCUCAUGACCUAAUCCCUUCUUUAAAGUUCCAAGUUCUUAAUACUUUUACUAUGGGAAUGAAGUUUCAACAUGAGUUUUGGUGGGAACAUUAAACCAUAGCAUCCACACAAUGAAGUAUCAUUCCAUGAUAAGGAAUGAAGACUUGAUAGAUAUUAUAACAUGAAUGAACCUCAAAAAAUUACACUUAGUGAAAGAAACCAGUUACAAAAGACUAUAUAUUAUGAUUCUAUUUAUAUGAAAAGUCCAUCCAAUGCAAAUCUGUAGAGACAGAAAGUAGAUUAGUGAUUAUCUAAGGCUGAGAUGCAGGAGAAUGGGGAAUAUGGGGAAUGACUCUUAAUAGCUAUGAGGUUUCUCUUUUGGAUAAUGAAAAUUAGACUGUGAUGAUAUAUAUAUAUAUAUAUCUGUAAAUAUAUAAAAACAAUGGAAUUGUACACUUAAACAGGUAAAUUUUAUGGUACAGGCAUACCUCAGAGAUAUUGCAGGUUUAAUUCCAGACUACCACAAUAAAGUGAAUAUUGCAAUAAAGCCAGUCACACAAACUUUGUUUCCCAGUACAUAUAAAAGUUAUGUUUAUACUAUACUGUAAUCUAUUAAAUGUGCAAUAACAUUUUGUCUAAAAACAACAAUUUACAUGCUUUAAUUGAAAAAUACUUUAUUACUUACAAAAUGCUAACAAUCAUCUGAGCCUUCAGCUAGUCUUGGUCUUUGCUGAUGAAGGGUCUGGCUUCAAUGUUGAUGGCUGCUGACUGAUCAGGGUGGUGCUUGCUGAAGGUUAGGGUGGCUGUGGGAAUUUAUUAAAAUAAGACAAUGAUUUACCACAUUGAUUGAUUCUUCCUGUCAUGAAAAGUUUUUCUGUAGUGUGUGAUUCUGUUUGCUAUUUUAUCCACAGUAUAACUUCUUUCAAAAUUAGAGUCAAUCCCCUCAAACCCUGCCACUGCUUUAUCAACUAAAUUCAUGUAAUAUUCUAAAUACUUUGUUGUCAUUUGAACAAUGUUCACCGUAUCUUCAACAAAUGUAGAUUCCAUCUCAAGAAACUACUUUCUUUUCUCAUUCACAACAAGCAAUUGGGAAAAUUUUAGAGAAUGUAUUCAAGUAUAAAGAAGAAAAUAUUACCACCACUGCCUAGUAAUAACCUUUGUCAACAUUUUGGCAUGUUUCUUUCUAAGGUUUCAUAUAUAUAUAUAUUUAUGUUUAUUUAUGACCUAAUUAAGUUCAUACUAUAAAUUCAUUUUUGUAGAUUACAAUAUCAUGACGAGCCUCCAGUUGGCAAUGGCUGCCAAAAAGCCUACAGUCAACAGCACAAAGCCUUACAGCAUUCAUGUUGUGAACAAAAUACUCCCAGCUUAACUUUAUGUUUUUCUAUUCAGACUUCUUUCAUCCUAUUUUCCAUGGUCCUUUAUUUCCAUAUUUAAUAUAAUUUUGUUGUAUGUAGUUCCAUGAAACAUUCUAAAGGCUUUCUAAAAUAAUUAUUUUCAUCAUAAUCAUUUUUAAGUAUACAGUUCAGUUGUGUUGAGUGUACUCUCAUAGCUGUAUGACAGAUCUCCAGAACUUUUCCAUCUCGAAGUAUUGAAACUCAUUGAACAACUCUGCAUUUUUUCCUCCUCUCGUACUCCUGAUAACAACCAUUCUACUUUCUGUUUCUGUGAAUUUGACUACUUUGGAUACCUCACAUAAUUGAAAUUAUACAGUAUUUGCCUUUGUAACUGGCUUAUUUCACUUAGCAUAAUGUUCUCAGUUUAUUCACAUUGUAGCACAUGACAAGAUUUCCCUUUUUUUGAGACAGAGUCUCACUCUAUUACCCAGGCUGGAGUGCAGUGGUGCAAUCUCAGCCCACUGCAAGCUCCACCUCCCAGGUUCAAGAAAUUCUCAUGCCUCUGCCUCCCGAGUAGUUGGAAUUACAGGUGCACAUCCCCAAGCCCAGCUAAUUUUUGUGUUUUCAGGAGAGACGGGGUAUUGCCAUGUUGGCCAGGCUGGUUUGGAACUCCUGACCUCAAGCAAUCUGCCCACCUCAGUCUCCGAAGGGCUGGGAUUACAGGUAUGAGCCACCAUACCUGAUCGAUAUUUCCUUUCUUUUUGAAGAUGAAUAACCCAUUGUUAUAUUCCACAAUAGUCCCCUUAUCCACAGGAGUUAUGCCUCAAGACCCCCAGCAUAUCCCUGAAACUACGGGUCUACUAUGUUUUUUCCUAUACGUAAAUACCUAUGAUAAAGUUUAAUUUAUAAAUUAAGGCACCAUAACAGAUUAACAACAAUAACUAAUAAUAAGAUGGAACACUUAUAAAAAUAAACUGUAAUAAAAGUGUGUGAAUGUGGUAUCUUUCUCUCUGUCUCUCUCUCAGUAUCUUAUUGUAUGUGAUUUUUUGGACCACAGUUGAAUACUGGUUACUGAAACCACAAAGAGUGAAAUCAGGAAUAAGAAGGGACUAUUGCACAGCAUUUUGUUUAUCCACUCACCCAACCAUGGACAUUUGGGUUGCUUCCACUUCUUGGCUAUUGUGAAUAAUGCUGCUAUGACAUGGAUGUGCAAAUCUCUUUGAGAGUCCCCUUUCAAUUAUUUUAGACAUACAGACAGAAGCAGGAUUUCUGAAUCAUAUUAUAGUUCUAUUUUUAAUUUUUUGAGGAAACCAUUAUACUUUUUUCAUAGUAGUUUCACCAUUCCCACCAACAGUGCACAGGAUUACAAUUUCUCAACAUUCUUGUCCACACUUGUUAUUUUCUGUUUGUUUGUUUAUAGUAGCCAUCAUAAUGGAUGUGAGGUGAUAUUCCAUUGUGAUUUUGUUUUGCAUUGUUCUAAUGAUUAGUGGUGUUGAGCAUCAUUUCAUAUUCUUGUUGGUUACUUGUAUAUCACCUUUAGAGAAAUGCCUAUUCAAGUUCUUUGCCCAUUUUUGAUCAGGUUGUUUUUUGUUGUUGAAUUGUAGGAGCUCUUCAUAUAUUCUGGAUGUUAAGCACUUAUCAGCUAUCUGAUCUGCAAAUAUUUUCUCCCAUUCACUUAUUAAUUCUGUUAAUUGUGUCCUUUAAUGCACAAAGGUUUUAAAGUUUUAUGUAGUCCCAUUUGUCUAUUUGUGGUUUUGUUGCCUAUGCUUUUGGUGUCACAUAUAAGAAAUCAUUGCCAAGUCCAAUGUCAUGAAAACUUUCCCCUAUGUUUUCUUCUAGGGGUUUUAUAGUUUUGGUUAUUAUGCCUUGGUCUUUAAUACAUUUUAACUUAAUUUUCAUAUAUAGCAUAAGAUAAAUGCAUAAUUUCAUUCUUUUGCAUGUGGAUAUAUAGUUUCCCUUGAGCCAUUUGUUGAAGAGAUCGACCUCUUCCCAUUGAGUGGUCUUGGAACCCUUGUCAAAGACUGUUUUACCAUAUAUUUGAGGGUUUAUUUCGGGCCUCUCUCUUCUAUUAUAUCAAUCAACAUGCCUGUUUUUAUGCCAGUAUCACACUGUUUUGAUUACUAUAGCUUUUUGUAUGUUUUGAAAACAGAAAGUGUAAGACCACCACCUUUGUUGUUUUUUGUUUGUUUGUUUGUUUUGAGAUGGAGUCUCACUCUGUCACCCAGGCUGGAGUGCAGUGGCACAAUCUCGGCUUACUGCAACCUCAGCCUCCCAGGUUCAAGUGAUUCUCCUGCCUCAGUCUCCCAAGUAGCUGGGACUACAAGUAUGUACCUCCACGCCUGGCUAAUUUUUUGUAUUUUUAGUAGACACAGAGUUUCACCAUGUUAGCCAGGAUUGUGUCCAUCUCCUAACCUCGUGAUCCACCCACCUCAGCCUCUCAAAGUUCUGGGAUUACAGGCGUGAGCCACCAUGCCCAGCCCCACCUUUGUUAUUUUUUAAGAUUGUUUUGGUUAUUCAAUAUCUCAUGAGAUUUUAUAGGAAUUUUAGGAUGGCGUUUUCUAUUUCUGCAAAAAAGCCAUUGGGAUUUUGAUAGAGAUUGCAUUGAAUCUGUAGAUGGCUUUUGGUAGUAUAAGCAUCUUAACAAUAUUAAGUCUUCCCUACACAUUAGGUACAGUGUACACUGCUUGAGUGAUGGGUGCACCAAAAUCUCAGAAAUCAUUACUAAAUAAUUUAUUCAUGUAACCAAACACCACCUGUUCCCCAAAAACCUAAUGAAAUAAAAAAUAAUUUUUUUAAAAAACAAUGUUAAGUCUUCCAAUUCAUGAACCUGGGAUGUCUUUUUAUUUAUUUGGGUCUUCUUUAAUUCCUUUCAGCAAUGUUGUGUAGUUUUCAGGUAAAAGUGUAUCUCCUUGGUUAGAAUUAUUCCUAAGUUUGUUAUUCUUUCUUACGCUGCUGUAAAUGGAAUUGUUUUCAUUUCCUUUUCAGAUUGUUGUUAGUAUAUAAAAACACAAUUGAUUUUUGCAUGUUGAUUUUGUAUCCUGAAACUUUGCUGAAUUUGUUCAUUAGUUCUAACAGGUUUUUUUUUUUUUUUAAUAGAAUCUUUAGGGUCUUCUACAUAUAAGAUUAUGUCAUCUGCAAACAGAUAAUUUUUCUUCUUUUCUUAUUUGGAUGCAACAAACAAUAUUUAAAUACAAUAAAAUUUAUAAACCAC